Long non-coding RNA from Myotis brandtii (Brandt's bat), 1288 nucleotides. RefSeq lists it as uncharacterized. NCBI's taxonomy places the organism in Eukaryota, Metazoa, Chordata, Mammalia, Chiroptera, Vespertilionidae. The transcript is spliced from 2 exons. The record is from RefSeq and is a predicted model, not a curated record.
GUUUAUUGUCCUUAUUUUUGGAAGAUGAGGCUAUGAGUGGUUUUUUUCUUUGUUCUAUGAGUUUCUGCAAAGAACAUGGCUACUUUAUUUCUCACGGCUACUUUUUCAGAAAAAAUUUUAUUUACAAUAUUAAAAAGUAAUCUAGCUUAUAAAAAUCAUAAGUAUAAUAAACCCUCAUAUUUAUAUGGCUUUAUUUUAAGAUAAUUUAAGAAUUUUGGACUGGGCAGAUUUUACUCAACCUGAGGCAACUAGUGAGAAAUGUUUAAUGAAUAAAUUUAUAAUCUAAAUGAAAUCACAUCACACCAAUUUAUGAAGUCGGUCUUGUAGAGCUCACUUUGCAGAUAAGAAAAAUGGAGCAUAUAGAAUAAGGUAACUUGCUCAGAGUUUCAUUGCAAGGAAGUGGAGGUUGGGCUUAGAGUGGUUUUAUUCCAGAGCUUUUCCUUCUGUCGUCAGUACUGCCCAGCGUCUGCCCCGUCUUCCCAGGACACAGUGUGCAGGGGUCUGCCACCAGCUCCUGAGCGUCUGCAUCUUCUUUGCACCAGUCUGACUCUUGGCACCAGUGGUCAUGGCAGCUGUGGGAGGUCUUCCAGGGCCUCCGAGUCUGGACAUGUACCUGGGCACAGUCAGGGAGGAAAGGAGCUUCUGAAGAAAGCAGACUGUCGAUGCCCCACAUCAGCCCUGAGGGGCCUCCCUAAGUGGACCAAGGCCCAGCCAGCAUGUGGUCAUUGAAGACGCAGAAACGAAGCAAGGAACGAAAGGACUGAUCGUCCUAGUCAUCCAGGGCCACUGGUGAACAUCCACCUGGCACCAGGGUGUGCCUCUGGCUUUCCUCUUCACUCCUGAUCAGAGACCAGACACUGGUGUUGCUUGUUUGUAGAUUUUUGGCUUGUGGAGACAAAUUAUUUGAUAAAGAUAAGUCCAAGGUUAUGGUUCGAUUGCUCUGUAGAACAUGAACCUGCUUUGUCUCCAAAUUGAAAGGCUUGAUUUAGUCAACUCCAGCUCUUCCGAUGCCCUCUGCACGGUGGGGCUCUGACACGGGGGGCGGGGGGCAGAGGGGAAACACUGUCCAUGUCCUAAGGGGCUACAACCACUGGGACUGGGUGUCCUGCAGAUGCUGCUCUGCGGAUGGGAUGUGUCCAGUGGCUGGCUCUGAGUCCAUUUGUCCCUAUGUCUGGAUUGGCUCCGGACCUGUUGGUGCAGGUUGGGCUGAUAAGUUUUUGCUGAGGCACGCCUCUCUCCAUUUCUCUGUCUGCUGAAAGAUUGUGAAUAAAGGAGCUUCUGGACUUGU